RNAcentral lists this ribosomal RNA (253 nucleotides) under uncultured bacterium. Its description in RNAcentral is "partial 16S ribosomal RNA". It matches the Rfam family "Bacterial small subunit ribosomal RNA", at positions 524 to 776 of the family's 1533-position model. The record is from RNAcentral.
UACGUAGGGUGCAAGCGUUGUCCGGAAUUAUUGGGCGUAAAGGGCUCGUAGGCGGUCCAUCGCGUCGGGAGUGAAAAGCUGGGGCUUAACCCCAGUCCUGCUUCCGAUACGGGUGGACUAGAGGUAGGUAGGGGAGAUCGGAAUUCCUGGUGUAGCGGUGAAAUGCGCAGAUAUCAGGAGGAACACCGGUGGCGAAGGCGGCGAUCUGGGAAGAUACUGACGCUGAGGUGCGAAAGCGUGGGGAGCGAACAGG